This 2143-nucleotide ribosomal RNA is filed under the name activated sludge metagenome. RNAcentral describes it as "bacterial LSU rRNA". It matches the Rfam family "Bacterial large subunit ribosomal RNA", at positions 1 to 1979 of the family's 2925-position model. The record is from RNAcentral.
GCAAGGAGUAAAGGGUCAAUAGUGGAUGCCUAGGAGCUGAUUGCGAAGAAGGUUGUGGCAAGCUGCUAAAAGGCUCGGGUAGCUGCACGCAAGCUAUGAUCCGGGCAUUACCGAAUGGGGCAACCCACCAUUUGCUGAACAAGCGGAUGGUACUGGGCCUAUUAUAUAGGCUCGGGGCGGAACCGGGCGAAUUGAAACAUCUUAGUAGCCCGAGGAAAAGAAAUCAAACAGAGAUUCCCUGAGUAGUGGUGAGCGAAAGGGGAGUAGCCCAAACCUAUAGAGUGUUAAAGGGUCGUACCGUUGCUUUAUAGGGGUUGUAGCCUCUCAUGAUGUAAGCAUACGACUGCUUAUGCACAUUUCUUGUAUUAUAGGGGAACAACCUGGGAAGGUUGGCCAGAGAAGGUGAAAGUCCUGUACCUGAAAUGGUACAAGAGAUGUGAGUGGGAGUGCUGAGUACCAUGGGACUCGUGUAAUCCUGUGGGAAUCCGGGUGGACCAUCAUCCAAGGCUAAAUAUUAAUCAGCUACCGAUAGUGAACGAGUACCGUGAGGGAAAGGUGAAAAGAACCCCGGAAGGGGAGUGAAAUAGAACCUGAAACUAUUGACUUACAAGCUGUAGGAGCUGAGCCCAUCACCGAGGAUAUUUUAAGAAAGUGAGUCAUCAAACGAGCAAAGAGUGACGAACGGACCAAAGAGUAUCUUCCGUGAUGGGCUUGGUGACUGCGUGCCUUUUGCAUAAUGAGCCGGCGAGUUAUUCUACCGUGCGAGGUUAAGGGGUUGUAGCCCUGAAGCCGAAGGGAAACCGAGUCUGAUAAGGGCGAUUUAGUACGAUGGAAUAGACCCGAAGCCGCGUGAUCUAUCCAUGAGCAGGUUGAAGCGUGGGUAAUACCAUGUGGAGGACCGAACUGGUUGCGGUUAAAAACGCAUCGGAUGACUUGUGGAUAGGGGUGAAAGGCUAAACAAACGUGGCGAUAGCUGGUUCUCCUCGAAAUGCCUUUAGGGGCAGCCUCACGUAGUAACUGAUGGUAGUAGAGCACUGGAAGGGCUAGGGCGGGGAAACCCGUACCAAACCCUACUAAACUCCGAAGGCCAUCAGUGUAAUCGUGGGAGUGAGACUGUGGGGGAUAAGCUUCAUAGUCGAGAGGGAAAGAGCCCAGACCGUUAUCUAAGGUCUCUAAAGCAUUGCUAAGUGGGAAAGGAUGUGCCGAUGCCAGGACAGCCAGGAGGUUUGCUUAGAAGCAGCCACCCUUAAAAGAGUGCGUAAUAGCUCACUGGUCGAGCAUUGGUGCGCCGAAGAUAUAACGGGGCUAAAGCAAUGUACCGAAGGUACGGCAUUACUCUUUUUGGAGUGAAGAGUAUUGGGUAGAGGAGCGUUCUGGAAGCUGACGAAGGUGUGCCGUGAGGCAUGCUGGAGGCAACAGAAGUGAGAAUGCCGGCAUGAGUAGCGAUAAAGCAGAUGAGAAAUCUGCUCGCCGUAAGUCCAAGGAUUCCUGGGUAAAGCAGAUCUUCCCAGGGUUAGUCGGGUCCUAAGGUGAGGCCGAAAGGCGUAGCUGAUGGAAAACAGGUUAAUAUUCCUGUACCAGCGAAUGACCGUUAAUACCGAUGCGGUGACGCAGAGGGUAAAUCCAAGCAGACUGAUGGAUGUCUGUCUAACUUUGUAGGGGUUAUGUGAGGCAAAUCCUUGCAUUAUAAAUCCCUGAUGAAGGACGGGGACUGUGCAGCGAUGCAUGGGAACUUGGAGGAGCCGUACUGCCAAGAAAGAGCCGCUCAGGGAGGUUAUUUGUUGCCCGUACCGGAAACCGACACAGGUGGACGAGGGUAGUACCCAAAGGCGCACAAGAGAACCCCUGUUAAGGAACUCGGCAAAAUGCACGUGUAACUUCGGGAUAAGCGUGGCCUCAAGUAGGUGAUGGGGAGAAACCGAAGCUGAAAGAGGUUGCAAAAAAGAGGCUCUGGCGACUGUUUACCAAAAACACAGAUCUCUGCUAAGACUUAAGUCUAAGUAUAGGGAUUGAGACCUGCCCGGUGCCAGAAGGUUAAAGAAGGGGGUCAACGGGGUAACCCGUGAAGCUCUUGACUGAAGCCCUGGUAAACGGCGGCUGUAACUAUAACAGUCCUAAGGUAGCGAAAUUCCUUGUCGGGUAA